Molecule: ribosomal RNA, 244 nt
Filed under: uncultured bacterium
Lineage: Bacteria
Description: partial 16S ribosomal RNA
Rfam family: Bacterial small subunit ribosomal RNA
Source: RNAcentral
ACGAGUGGCGCACGGGUGCGCAACGCGUAUAGAACCUACCCUGUACAGGGGGAUAGCCCAGAGAAAUUUGGAUUAAUACCCCGUGGUAAAUAUAAAUGGCAUCGUUUAUAUUUUAAAGUUUUCGGACGGUACAGGAUGGCUAUGCGUCCUAUUAGUUAGAUGGUGAGGUAACGGCUCACAUGGCAGCGAUAGGUAGGGGCCCUGAGAGGGGGAUCCCCCACACUGGUACUGAGACACGGACCAG